UACAGAGGUCUCAAGCGUUGUUCGGAUUCAUUGGGCGUAAAGGGUGCGUAGGCGGCGGGGCAAGUCAGGUGUGAAAUCUCGGGGCUCAACCCCGAAACUGCAUUUGAUACUGCCUUGCUAGAGUACUGGAGAGGAGAUUGGAAUUUACGGUGUAGCAGUGAAAUGCGUAGAUAUCGUAAGGAAGACCAGUGGCGAAGGCGAAUCUCUGGACAGUUACUGACGCUGAGGCACGAAGGCCAGGGGAGCAAACGGG
RNAcentral lists this ribosomal RNA (253 nucleotides) under uncultured bacterium. RNAcentral's name for it is "partial 16S ribosomal RNA". It matches the Rfam family "Bacterial small subunit ribosomal RNA", at positions 524 to 776 of the family's 1533-position model. The record is from RNAcentral.